This 492-nucleotide ribosomal RNA is filed under the name uncultured bacterium. RNAcentral's name for it is "partial 16S ribosomal RNA". It matches the Rfam family "Bacterial small subunit ribosomal RNA", at positions 29 to 507 of the family's 1533-position model. The record is from RNAcentral.
AGUGAACGCUGGCGGUAGGCCUAACACAUGCAAGUCGAACGGCAGCACAGUAAGAGCUUGCUCUUACGGGUGGCGAGUGGCGGACGAGUGAGGAAUACAUCGGAAUCUACUUUUUCGUGGGGGAUAACGUAGGCAAACUUACGCUAAUACCGCAUACGACCUACGGGUGAAAGCAGGGGAUCUUCGGACCUUGCGCGAUUGAAUGAGCCGAUGUCGGAUUAGCUAGUUGGCGGGGUAAAGGCCCACCAAGGCGACGAUCCGUAGCUGGUCUGAGAGGAUGAUCAGCCACACUGGAACUGAGACACGGUCCAGACUCCUACGGGAGGCAGCAGUGGGGAAUAUUGGACAAUGGGCGCAAGCCUGAUCCAGCCAUACCGCGUGGGUGAAGAAGGCCUUCGGGUUGUAAAGCCCUUUUGUUGGGAAAGAAAAGCAGCAGGUUAAUACCCCGCUGUUCUGACGGUACCCAAAGAAUAAGCACCGGCUAACUUCGUG